RNAcentral lists this long non-coding RNA (4380 nucleotides) under Zalophus californianus (California sea lion). RNAcentral's name for it is "lncRNA (ENSZCAG00015024006.1)". The record is from RNAcentral. Lineage: Eukaryota; Metazoa; Chordata; Mammalia; Carnivora; Otariidae.
GAGGGUCUGGGGGAGGGGAGAAGGGGGAGGGUCCCGCGCUCUCCUUCCCCGGGUUCUGCGUCCACGUAGGUCUCCUCCAGCCAAGGGUCUGCGCGCCCCCUCCUCUUCUCAGACUCCUCUGGCCUCGCCCCUCCUUCUCACAUUCCCAACUCCCAAGGACAACUUGUCGCUUCAGAAAUCCGGGGCUUCUUUCUGUCCCCCAGACUCUUUCUCCCCUACUUCUUUUGUCUAUUUCUGCAUUUGACGGCUUCUCUGGGAAGCGUUCCCCGCAUCUCCUCUCUUGUCCGUUCUCUCUCUCUCUCUCUCUCUCUCUCUCUCUCUCUCUCUCUCUCUCUCUCACACACACACACACACACACACACACACACACACACACACGAGUCUGUCUGUCGGCCAUCUCGGCGCCUGUCCUCCGCGGCUCUGGCCUUUCGGAGGGCGCAAGGCCCACUCUUGGAGCUGCCCCGCGGUCCUCCGACGGCGCCCCAGGAAGGGGGCAGAGGGCGCCAAAGGCGACGCGCCUGCGGCCCGCUCCAGGCCAAGCCCAGUGCGUCUGCGGGAAUCGGCCCCUUCCCCACCGCGGGACCCCGAGCUGCGCGAGGACUCAACGCCAGGGCGCCGCCUAGAGGUCGGCCGCGGCCUCAGCCUCACCGGCCCGCGACCGCAGAGCUGCUUCCCCAGCGGCGGCCAGAAAUCAGGGAACAAAAAAUCCAGCCUGGGUCUCAGGGAUGCGGCUUCCGGCACCUCUGACUACUCUGAAACCCACCCCUCCAACGUAAUGAGCCGUAGAAAGGGAGACAGGAGAAGAAGAAGGCCCAGAAAUAUUUAUUCUCCUUGUGACUCUAACUAAAUGCAAGGGGGUCUCAAUUUCGGCUUCUUUGAGGACCCCGUGUUCUGCAUCUGUGUCUGGACUGCCUCCUCUCACCAUCCAAUGCCCAGUCGCCUCCAAUUAUGCCAGAACUCUGCUUUAGCUUCGAGGAGGCCCAAGAGUAGGGAAGAGUUGCCUCUAAAUCUUACAGCGUGGUCAUCUACAUUUUCAAUUCUGAAUAAUUUGGAGAUCGACGUGCUUUGGGGAGAGUAUUCAGAAAACAUCUGAGGGUGAAGAGAAACAUUGCCUAAAUGGCCUCUACUCACUGAGUGGCCAUUAGCUCAACUAGUGUCUGAAUGGCAUUCAGGAGGGUGCCUAUUGGCACGAGCGCCCCUGUUGGUGGCUGUCUGUGUUGGGCAUUGAAAGUUGACUCUCUCAGGCCAGGCAACCUGAGAAUGAGAAGGCUGGCUGGCAUCUGUAGGAAUGCAUUUGAGGUGUCCAUUCAGCCCCAUGCAGAGAGUUUUAUUUUUUAAACUGGGAUCCAUGGCCUGGGUUCUGGGGAUGGGUGGGGGAGAUAGAAAGCCCUUGAAAAGUGUCUGCAAAAUUUGUGUGUGCACAGAUCAAUCUGUUCUAUGGCUGUGGCCUCUUCAGCUUUUCCAGAGUCUAAGACUCUAAAAUGGUUCAAUCUCCUUUCCUCGGUCCAAAGAAUCACGAGACCCAGGUCAGCGAUGGGCAGGGAGACAGCAACGGACCUGCCCCGACUGCAGGCCUCUAGAGUGGGGCAGAGUGUGUGGGUAAUAACAGUCUUGAAUGGUGUGGAAACUGCUGGUCCCUGAGUCCUGCCCUCCGCCCUUUGCUAACAGAUCCCAGAGGCAAAUCCUGACAGGAGGGGUGACUGCCAGUAGCUGCCAUCACAGUAUUUUUAAUAAAAAUAUAGUAUGAUAAAGAGUGAAAUAAGGGAGUUUGGGCACAUAAUAAGGAAGGAGCUGGAGAUGCCUCCUCAUGCAUAUCCUGCAAUAUGAAUAUCGGGAUGGAAACGAGCUACUUCCUGUCCUCCAGCUGUUAAUGAGCUCCCCCCUUCCUCCUCCUGGGUGCAAGGAAGGAGCCAGAGGGCACUGCGCCCAUCCCCCACUGGCUGGGGCUGAGUGGGCCUGCCUUUCAGAAAAUUUGCGAACCGCAGAUCAUUCCAUUUUUUAUAACUUUAUUUUUAAAAUUGUCUUUUUCCUUUUUUAAAAAAAUGUAAUCCCUAUGGCCAACGUGGGGCUCAAACGCACAACCCUGAGCUCAAGAGCCGCAUGCUCUAAGGACUGAGCCGACCACGUGCCCCCAUUUUUUAUCACUUAAAAAAACAAGUCCCCAGAAGUGUUCUGGGGCCUUUUCUUGGAAGGAGGGCUGGGCGUGGAGUUGGCGGGUCACACAGGGCUGCACCUGUGUGUGUCUGUGGGAAGGAGGGAAUGUCAGCGCGCCAAACCCCCACCUGCGCCCGCAGCCGGGCCUCAGUCCCGCACCCCAGGCCUCACUGAACCUGAGUUCAUCUUAGCCCUCCAGCGCCUUUUAGACCUGAAUCUUUGGUAUUUUUUUGGUGAAUAACCAUGAGUCAUGAUCAAAAUUCCUUUGCUCUCCCGCUCAGAAGUGCACCUACCCAGGGCCCUCCAAGCAGACAAAGUGAGCAGGAAAUCAACAGCUACACUCCCAAUUAUCUGGAGCCCACAACCAAAAGGGAUUUUCCUUGGUUUUGAUUCACAAAGGCCUGAUAGCGAUUCCAAAUCCGGAUUCCACAAAGUUUGGUAAAAACAAAAACAAAAACAACAACAACAAAAAAAACCCAAAAUAAGGACAGAAACAAAACAAGAGCAACCACAACAAACGGUCCAGAACAGAAGAGAACUGUGGAGAGGGCAGUGGAGGUGAGGCAGAGGUUUUUGUCUGACUUGGAGGCUCUGAGGGAGCCGGACAGGAGCCGGUGGGCACCCUCUUGGCAGAGGCCAAUCUGGACGCUCCUCAGCGCUGGCCGUCACCUCCACUCUGGCCAAGAGCAGCCUCUCGGUUUCUCCUCUGGGAGCCCCUGCCCCGCUCAGCCCCUUCAGGCCUUCUGACCCUUUCUCCCCUUCCAGCAAGUACCUGGCCAUACAGGGGUGGGGCAGGGCAAAGGUCGGGCAGAUAGAGACGCUGAAAGAAAAAGCAAAAAACCCGCUUUCGGCGGAAAGAUGCAAAGACCGGAGGCCACAGGGCGUGGCGGGCAGAGCCCGGGCUGUAGCAGGAAGGACGCGGCGUCUAACUCGGCUCUGGAGCCGGGCCGAGGCUGUGGGUGGAGGCUCGGUGAGUCGUCAGGCCAGGCGGUGGCCUCCAGUCCUGGCCGCCGCCCGGGCGAGUCCUGCGAGAAGAGUCCCCGGCGGCGGGCACGGCCGAGGCAAAGUCCCGGGGGCCGGAGACCGAGGCUGCUUCUCCCCACGCGGACGCAGUCCGCUCGGGCGAAAGAAAGGGGCCGAGGCGGCUGCUUCUGCGGCUCGUAAAUUUGUUCCUCCUUACUUUUAACCCGCCCCCCCCUCCGGCCGUCUUUCUUUUCAGGACAGGAGGGGACGUAAACCAUUUGAAGUUCAUCAACACGGCGAAGUUUUAUUGUAUUUCCGGUCCCCAAGAUUUAUACCCGGGAGGGGGAGCGGGCGGCCAGGCAGACUCCUGCCCUCCCUCGGACUUCCCCGGCGGACACGUGGCCACUCGGACCCUCGCCUCCGGGGCCGGGGCGGGAGGGAGCCGGGCCCGGACCGGGACAGGCCGCUGGCUGCGCACCUUCCGCACCUUCCGACGGCCGCUCCCGCCCCGCGCCGCCGCCGCCGCCGCCCAGGUGAGUCCGCCGCCUCUGCCCGCGGGGCCGCCCGCCUGCUGCGGGGUGUGUGCGUGAGCACCUGCGACGCUGCGGGUGUCUGGAGGGGGGAGAGGUGGCAGGAGGGGACAUCGGUGGGGGCGGGGAGCGAAGGGCUCAGGCUGAAGGUCAGGAAGGAAGAUGCAAACUUGCUCUCUGCGUCCCAAUCUGAGUCCUCAGCCUCUCGGGUUCGUUUAUGAACUCGGAACGCACGGUCUUACCUGGGACAGCUCAGCCUCUGCAGAGCCAGCCCCACCGCCCCCCCCCCCCCCAGGACGCUUCUGGCAGGGCGACUUCACAGCGACUCUUCAGGUCAGCCCGCUUCCCCUGCCAGUCAUAUUCUUCUGUUUGCUCCCUAGUUUUCCUGGUACUUUCUCACACUCUGCUUUUCCAUCUAUGUCCCCUGCAGACACUUUCUCAGCACUCCCCUCCACUCUCUGUCUAUACUGCAGUCUCAAAGCAGAGCUGCCCUGAGUGACCCUGGAAUACAGGCACUAGCCCGCCGGCAAGUGUAGACGCACCUUGAUUACAAUUUGAAGGUGAGAAAUCUUAUCUGGGGAGACCUCCAGCUGCAGAGACGGAGGCCGAGGUGGUGACCAGGCAGGUGUAUUGCUGAGGCCUUGCCCAGCCCUGGCGCUGGGCCUAGUGUCCCCAUCCAUCAGGGCUCCUGGAAGAGAGCAGAAGUCCCUGGAAUCUGAGCUGCCAGGCCCAG